UGAAUACGAGAUGCUACGGCAUCGAAGCAGUCUAUGUCAUACUUCCAAGAAAAGCUUGCACUGUCAUAAACAAAUAAUGCCUGUACCAUAACCGACACAGGUGGGUAGGUAGAGUAUACUAAGGGGCGCGAGAUAACUCUCUCUAAGGAACUCGGCAAAAUGACUCCGUAACUUCGGGAGAAGGAGUGCCUUAUUUUAUAAGGUUGCAAUAACAAGAUCCAAGCAACUGUUUACCAAAAACACAGGUCUCCGCUAAGUCGUAAGACGAUGUAUGGGGGCUGACGCCUGCCCAGUGCCAGAAGGUUAAAGAAGUUGGUUAGCAUUAGCGAAGCUGAUAACUGAAGCCCUGGUGAACGGCGGCCGUAACUAUAACGGUCCUAAGGUAGCGAAAUUCCUUGUCGGGUAAGUUCCGACCCGCACGAAAGGCGUAAUGAUUUGGAUACUGUCUCGGAGAGGGGCUCGGUGAAAUAGACUUGUCUGUGAAGAUGCGGACUACCUGCACCAGGACAGAAAGACCCUAUGAAGCUUUACUGUAACUUGAGAUUGAAAUUGGACUUAUUUGCGCAGUAUAGGUGGGAGACGUUGAAAAUAUUCUUGCGGGAAUAUUGGAGUCAUCAGUGAGAUACCACUCUUAUAAUGUUAGAUUUCUAACUUUGUAUCAUUAUCUGGUCAAAGAACAGUCUCAGGCGGGCAGUUUGACUGGGGCGGUCGCCUCCCAAACGGUAACGGAGGCGCACAAAGGUUUCCUCUGAACGUGUAGAAAUCGUAUCUAGAGUGUAAAGGCAUAAGGAAGCUUGACUGUGAGACCUACAAGUCGAGCAGGGACGAAAGUCGGUCUUAGUGGUCUGACGGUGCUGAGUGGAAAGGCCGUCACUCAACGGAUAAAAGUUACUCUAGGAUAACAGGCUGAUCUCCCCCAAGAGUUCACAUCGACGGGGAGGUUUGGCACCUCGAUGUCGGCUCAUCGCAUCCUGGGGCGGUAGUACGUCCCAAGGGUUGGGCUGUUCGCCCAUGAAAGCGGUACGCGAGCUGGGUUCAGAACGUCGUGAGACAGUUCGGUCCAUAUCCGGUGUAGGCGUUAGAAUAUUGAGAGGAGCCUUCUUUAGUACGAGAGGACCGAGAAGGACAUACCUCUGGUGUACCAGUUAUCGUGCCAACGGUAAACGCUGGGUAGCUAUGUAUGGAGAGGAUAACCGCUGAAAGCAUCUAAGUGGGAAGCCCACCUCAAGAUAAGUAUUCUC
Molecule: ribosomal RNA, 1241 nt
Filed under: metagenome
Description: bacterial LSU rRNA
Rfam family: Bacterial large subunit ribosomal RNA
Source: RNAcentral